AAAUGAUGCCGCGCACGUACACUGUUACUAUUUUUAGAAUGCAGAAGGGAAAUUACCCAAAUUAAAAUUAAGGGGCUAUUGCUAAUUUUAGUAAUAAUUUUGAAUUAUAAUUUUUUUAUUCUUGUACGAAGUCGAUGAAUCCUUUAAUGAGGAUUAGUUGGAGGGCAAGCCUGAUGCCAGCAGCCGCAGUAAUUCGAACUCCAAAAGCGUAUAUUAAAGCUGUCGUGGUUAAAAUGUUGCUAUCUGGAUCUUAAUUCCAGACGGGUGGUCUGGCUAUGGGUAGUUCCUGCCUGGUCUGAACCGGCAGCCGAUUUCCUUUGAUGACCUUCACCUGUUGUCUGGGGUUUCAAGUUUACUUUCGGCAAGUUUGAAAAAAUUAGAAUACUCAAAGCAAGAGCAAAGCCUGAAAAAUGGCGCAUGGAAUAGCACCUGGGUUCUAUUUUGCUGGUUUUCGGAAUACGGGGUAAGGAUUAGAGGGACUAACGGGGCAUUCGUAUUGCGAUGCUCGGCGAAAGAUGAAAUUCUUGAUCCAGCAAGAACUACUGCGAAAGCAUUUGCCAGUAAUGACGUAUUAAUUAAGAACAUUCCAUAUUAAUA
RNAcentral lists this non-coding RNA (597 nucleotides) under Stegodyphus mimosarum. RNAcentral's name for it is "Eukaryotic small subunit ribosomal RNA". It matches the Rfam family "Eukaryotic small subunit ribosomal RNA", at positions 401 to 1002 of the family's 1831-position model. The record is from Rfam by way of RNAcentral. Lineage: Eukaryota; Metazoa; Arthropoda; Arachnida; Araneae; Eresidae.